ACCCGAAACCCGGUGAUCUAGCCAUGGGCAGGUUGAAGGUUGGGUAACACUAACUGGAGGACCGAACCGACUAAUGUUGAAAAAUUAGCGGAUGACUUGUGGCUGGGGGUGAAAGGCCAAUCAAACCGGGAGAUAGCUGGUUCUCCCCGAAAGCUAUUUAGGUAGCGCCUCGUGAAUUCAUCUCCGGGGGUAGAGCACUGUUUCGGCAAGGGGGUCAUCCCGACUUACCAACCCGAUGCAAACUGCGAAUACCGGAGAAUGUUAUCACGGGAGACACACGGCGGGUGCUAACGUCCGUCGUGAAGAGGGAAACAACCCAGACCGCCAGCUAAGGUCCCAAAGUCAUGGUUAAGUGGGAAACGAUGUGGGAAGGCCCAGACAGCCAGGAUGUUGGCUUAGAAGCAGCCAUCAUUUAAAGAAAGCGUAAUAGCUCACUGGUCGAGUCGGCCUGCGCGGAAGAUGUAACGGGGCUAAACCAUGCACCGAAGCUGCGGCAGCGACGCUGAUGCGUUGUUGGGUAGGGGAGCGUUCUGUAAGCCUGUGAAGGUGUGCUGUGAGGCAUGCUGGAGGUAUCAGAAGUGCGAAUGCUGACAUAAGUAACGAUAAAGCGGGUGAAAAGCCCGCUCGCCGGAAGACCAAGGGUUCCUGUCCAACGUUAAUCGGGGCAGGGUGAGUCGACCCCUAAGGCGAGGCCGAAAGGCGUAGUCGAUGGGAAACAGGUUAAUAUUCCUGUACUUGGUGUUACUGCGAAGGGGGGACGGAGAAGGCUAUGUUGGCCGGGCGACGGUUGUCCCGGUUUAAGCGUGUAGGCUGGUUUUCCAGGCAAAUCCGGAAAAUCAAGGCUGAGGCGUGAUGACGAGGCACUACGGUGCUGAAGCAACAAAUGCCCUGCUUCCAGGAAAAGCCUCUAAGCAUCAGGUAACAUCAAAUCGUACCCCAAACCGACACAGGUGGUCAGGUAGAGAAUACCAAGGCGCUUGAGAGAACUCGGGUGAAGGAACUAGGCAAAAUGGUGCCGUAACUUCGGGAGAAGGCACGCUGAUAUGUAGGUGAAGUCCCUCGCGGAUGGAGCUGAAAUCAGUCGAAGAUACCAGCUGGCUGCAACUGUUUAUUAAAAACACAGCACUGUGCAAACACGAAAGUGGACGUAUACGGUGUGACGCCUGCCCGGUGCCGGAAGGUUAAUUGAUGGGGUCAGCGCAAGCGAAGCUCUUGAUCGAAGCCCCGGUAAACGGCGGCCGUAACUAUAACGGUCCUAAGGUAGCGAAAUUCCUUGUCGGGUAAGUUCCGACCUGCACGAAUGGCGUAAUGAUGGCCAGGCUGUCUCCACCCGAGACUCAGUGAAAUUGAACUCGCUGUGAAGAUGCAGUGUACCCGCGGCAAGACGGAAAGACCCCGUGAACCUUUACUAUAGCUUGACACUGAACAUUGAGCCUUGAUGUGUAGGAUAGGUGGGAGGCUUAGAAGUGUGGACGCCAGUCUGCAUGGAGCCGACCUUGAAAUACCACCCUUUAAUGUUUGAUGUUCUAACGUUGACCCGUAAUCCGGGUUGCGGACAGUGUCUGGUGGGUAGUUUGACUGGGGCGGUCUCCUCCUAAAGAGUAACGGAGGAGCACGAAGGUUGGCUAAUCCUGGUCGGACAUCAGGAGGUUAGUGCAAUGGCAUAAGCCAGCUUGACUGCGAGCGUGACGGCGCGAGCAGGUGCGAAAGCAGGUCAUAGUGAUCCGGUGGUUCUGAAUGGAAGGGCCAUCGCUCAACGGAUAAAAGGUACUCCGGGGAUAACAGGCUGAUACCGCCCAAGAGUUCAUAUCGACGGCGGUGUUUGGCACCUCGAUGUCGGCUCAUCACAUCCUGGGGCUGAAGUAGGUCCCAAGGGUAUGGCUGUUCGCCAUUUAAAGUGGUACGCGAGCUGGGUUUAGAACGUCGUGAGACAGUUCGGUCCCUAUCUGCCGUGGGCGCUGGAGAACUGAGGGGGGCUGCUCCUAGUACGAGAGGACCGGAGUGGACGCAUCACUGGUGUUCGGGUUGUCAUGCCAAUGGCACUGCCCGGUAGCUAAAUGCGGAAGAGAUAAGUGCUGAAAGCAUCUAAGCACGAAACUUGCC
RNAcentral lists this ribosomal RNA (2103 nucleotides) under Escherichia coli. RNAcentral's name for it is "partial 23S ribosomal RNA". It matches the Rfam family "Bacterial large subunit ribosomal RNA", at positions 713 to 2798 of the family's 2925-position model. The record is from RNAcentral. Lineage: Bacteria; Pseudomonadati; Pseudomonadota; Gammaproteobacteria; Enterobacterales; Enterobacteriaceae.